GGCAGGAAUGAAGAGGAAUCGGAUGACAAAAAUUGAUGUAGCAAGGAGUUGGACUUAGGAAAAGCAGGAAAAGAGCACAAAAGAAGAAUCACAGUUGGCGAUGAGCACCACUUUCAUCAUUGAGCGCCAAGCCUGUUGUUGCAUUCACUGUCUGACGCCUGAGUGCCAUUCCAAGUGUCGCACCUACCACUAAGCGCCAGUCUUGCUGAUGAGUUCUUUGUCUAGUGUCUGGGCCCCAC
Molecule: long non-coding RNA, 239 nt
Filed under: Vigna radiata
Lineage: Eukaryota; Viridiplantae; Streptophyta; Magnoliopsida; Fabales; Fabaceae
Description: long non-coding RNA (VRAD_LNC015364)
Source: RNAcentral